This is a long non-coding RNA of Cololabis saira (Pacific saury), 446 nucleotides long. RefSeq lists it as uncharacterized. The transcript has 5 exons. Lineage: Eukaryota; Metazoa; Chordata; Actinopteri; Beloniformes; Belonidae. The record is from RefSeq and is a predicted model, not a curated record.
UAAUUUCCAAAACAAUCAAUGCUUUAUUAUUUAGUCAAUUGUGUUUGUCCCUUCAUGCUGUCUCCAGGGAUCCAGAGGUGCCCCUGGGCAGGAGGGAGUUGCUGGUCUCGAUGGUGAGGAGGGUCCAGUGGGACUAACUGGAGUUGAGGGGCCAGUUGGUCAAAAAAGCAUAUCUGGCGAUAAGGGAAAUGCUGGACUUCCUGGGGAAAAAGGAUCAAGGGGAGCCGAAGGGGAAAGAGGGAACCGGGGGCCACAGGGACGAAAAGGGCCACUAGGGAAACAGGGAUACAGGGGUUCACCAGGCGAUAGAGGACAACAAGGGCUUACAGCGCUAAAGGGUGAUGAAGGCACCAGGGGUUUGUCAGGCAUGCGUGGACAGUUCGGACGUGGGGGGACCACUGGGGCGCCAGGAGCCAGAGGCCAAAAAGGCCUGCAAGGACACACUG